RNAcentral lists this long non-coding RNA (305 nucleotides) under Elaeis guineensis (African oil palm). RNAcentral's name for it is "long non-coding RNA (EGUI_LNC037926)". Lineage: Eukaryota; Viridiplantae; Streptophyta; Magnoliopsida; Arecales; Arecaceae. The record is from RNAcentral.
CUCGCCCUUCUUUUUGUCUUCCCUAACCAUUGGAAGGUCACAUGGCUCACCGAGAAAAACAGGAAUUGAUGUAUGCCUUUCGUUCUCUUGAAGUUUACGGCGGGGACACUGAUCCCCAAUUGUUUUACUCUCUUUCCUAUAUGUUUAAGGCAGUGGAGACAUAAACAAAAGCAAUGAUAUAGAUCUUACUUGGUUAAAGCUUUCAGGUAGGUGCUAUGUGGUUUAUCGGUUGCCUAGAGAGUUGACAAAGAGCAGGAUGUGCCCUUUAUGCUCAGAGGGAAAAUUAGACGUACAUUGCUCACUGA